GCCAGCUGCUCCUGUCCUCUGCAUGCACCAUCAGGGCGCGACCUUUCUACCCCGGGGCUGAAAGCCAAAGGACUCCCUGCGGGGAAACAUCUGGCGUGACCACUCUGGACUGCUGACAUCCUGAGCUACAAAUGAAAUUGAUGUGACACAAGGGUGGAGGCACCCUUAAGGACAGAGGCUUCCUAGGAUGAAGCGAUACCAGAGAGCAGAAACAGCCAUGUGGAGCUCCUGGUGCCAGAUGUUGAACUCCUGGAUCCAGCCCCGCCUGCAGACAGCUUCUUGAGGGUCCUGACUGAUUGGGUGAAAGACAGCUGGGAGACCAUUUGCCUGAAGUCACGGCCUGCCCUCGAUUUGUAUGUCUCUUGGUCCCAGGGACAUCUGAGAAGUGCUCCCAGAGCACACAAGCAUGCCAGCACAUGGAGUCCUAGAGGAGCACAGGCAGGAACUUCUCUGGGGACAGGUACAUUCAGGUUUCCUGCCGGGACCCCACCUCCAGACCCAGCCCGUGAGUCUAGGCUCAGAGGCUCCGAACACCUGGCUACCAUCUGCUGAAAACCGUUCACCAACUUCAGUCCCCUCUUAGAAUCAACAGCAGUUCCUUGCCAUGCUUGCAGAACCCUACACGACCUGCCAUGGGCUCUCCACAGCAGCCAGGAGCCCAGGAGGGAGCAGAUGGCACUUCUGGAUGCGGGUCAUUGGAGGAGAGCUGACUGACAAAGAGAGUAAAUCCCAAGUGCAUCAGUGGACCGUAGGGGAGCCAACCUGUAGUGCAGGAACCUGGGCCAGAAGCUCAAGACUGACCGUCACCAGGCCCAAAGGGUCAGCCGGUGAGGGCAGUUAUGGGAACCCAAAGGAGAGAGAAUUGCACAGAGCUGGUGCCUGAAAAGUAGCAGUCAGCCCAAGAGACCUCCUGGAGGGGGAUCCAGGAAUAAACGCCCUGGUCUUCGUCUCCACUCUCCCUGUGAUCCUUUGCUGGGCUUCCCCAGCCCAAAGCCAGGGCCCAGGAGCUGGAAAAUGCCAGACAGAGGAGGGAAGGUGGGAGGUGGAGCGCCAUCUGCAGGAGCAAACAGAACUCCAAACUCCAUCUCAGAAUGUUCUGGAGGGCUCAGCUGACUCACCUGUUCCCUUGGCCUGCGAAGCUUUGCAUCUGCUAGGUCUCAUCUCAAAUGCCAGCUCCUCAGUGAAAUUGUCCUGACUGACCAUCCUCAAAAAAGGAUGCACCCCUGCCCUCCACCCUUGUUAUUUCCUUCCCAGCAGCUACAACAGUCUUGAAACAAUCUUGUUGCUUUAAUUUUUUGUCUGUUUAUUGACUCUUGCACUAGAAUGUCAGCUGCGUCCCCAGUACCUAGAACAGGGUCUUGUACAUAGCAGGUACUCAAUAAAUAUUUG
Long non-coding RNA from Manis pentadactyla (Chinese pangolin), 1389 nucleotides. RefSeq lists it as uncharacterized. The transcript has 3 exons. Lineage: Eukaryota; Metazoa; Chordata; Mammalia; Pholidota; Manidae. The record is from RefSeq and is a predicted model, not a curated record.